Molecule: ribosomal RNA, 463 nt
Filed under: uncultured bacterium
Lineage: Bacteria
Description: partial 16S ribosomal RNA
Rfam family: Bacterial small subunit ribosomal RNA
Source: RNAcentral
GAUGAACGCUGACAGAAUGCUUAACACAUGCAAGUCUUUGGCGAAGCUGUGCUUGCACAGCCUAGCCAAGGCGGACGGGUGAGUAACGCGUAAGGAACUUGCCCUGCAGUCAGGGAUAACAGACGGAAACGACUGAUAAGACCUGGUAAAGUCAGGCGGACUCAUGUCCAGCCUGAUGAAAAGAGAUGCUGCAGGAGAGCCUUGCGUCCUAUUAGCUUGUUGGUGGGGUAACGGCCCACCAAGGCGAUGAUAGGUAGCCGGCCUGAGAGGGUGGACGGCCACAAGGGGACUGAGAUACGGCCCUUACUCCUACGGGAGGCAGCAGUGGGAAAUAUUGGACAAUGGGGGCAACCCUGAUCCAGCAAUUCUGUGUGCACGAUGAGGGUUUUCGGAUUGUAAAGUGCUUUCAGCAGGGAAGAAAAAAAUGACGGUACCUGCAGAAGAAGCGACGGCUAAAUACGUG